GGGGCUUUAGCUCAGCUGGUAGAGCACCUGCAUGGCAUGCAGGGGGUCAGGAGUUCAAGUCUCCUAAGCUCCA
RNAcentral lists this transfer RNA (73 nucleotides) under Yinghuangia soli. It matches the Rfam family "tRNA". From Rfam's summary of the family: Transfer RNA (tRNA) molecules are approximately 80 nucleotides in length. Lineage: Bacteria; Bacillati; Actinomycetota; Actinomycetes; Kitasatosporales; Streptomycetaceae. The record is from Rfam by way of RNAcentral.